RNAcentral lists this ribosomal RNA (289 nucleotides) under uncultured bacterium. RNAcentral describes it as "partial 16S ribosomal RNA". The record is from RNAcentral.
GGACUACUGGGGUAUCUAAUCCGUUUUGCUCCCCAUCCUUUCGUACCUCAACGUCAGUGAAAAGUUAGAAAGAUGCCUUCGCCUUUAGUGGUCUUCUAAAUAUCAACAGAUUUCAUCCCUACUCUCAGAAUUCCUCUUUCCUCUAUUACACUCUAGUUUUGUCAUAACUAAAUUAUUAUUAUUAAUUUAAUUUAGGAAUAUUUAGUUGAUCAAAACAGUCUACGUACCCUUUAGACCCAUUAAUGAUGAAUAACGUUUACCCCUCUCGUAUUACCGCGGCUGCUGGCAC